Molecule: transfer RNA, 86 nt
Organism: Fragilariopsis cylindrus CCMP1102
Lineage: Eukaryota; Bacillariophyta; Bacillariophyceae; Bacillariales; Bacillariaceae
Rfam family: Selenocysteine transfer RNA
Source: Rfam
GUGCGCAUGAUCCAAUUUGGUAAUUGGUACAGGCUUCAAACCUGUAGACGGCUAACGCCGUAGUUGUUCGAUUCAACCUUGCGCAC